RNAcentral lists this ribosomal RNA (568 nucleotides) under uncultured bacterium. RNAcentral describes it as "partial 16S ribosomal RNA". It matches the Rfam family "Bacterial small subunit ribosomal RNA", at positions 355 to 912 of the family's 1533-position model. The record is from RNAcentral.
UGGGGAAUAUUGCACAAUGGGCGCAAGCCUGAUGCAGCCAUGCCGCGUGUGUGAAGAAGGCCUUCGGGUUGUAAAGCACUUUCAGCGAGGAGGAAGGUGGUGAGCUUAAUACGCUCAUCAAUUGACGUUACUCGCAGAAGAAGCACCGGCUAACUCCGUGCCAGCAGCCGCGGUAAUACGGAGGGUGCAAGCGUUAAUCGGAAUUACUGGGCGUAAAGCGCACGCAGGCGGUUUGUUAAGUCAGAUGUGAAAUCCCCGGGCUCAACCUGGGAACUGCAUUUGAAACUGGCAAGCUAGAGUCUCGUAGAGGGGGGUAGAAUUCCAGGUGUAGCGGUGAAAUGCGUAGAGAUCUGGAGGAAUACCGGUGGCGAAGGCGGCCCCCUGGACGAAGACUGACGCUCAGGUGCGAAAGCGUGGGGAGCAAAACAGGAUUAGAUACCCUGGUAGUCCACGCUGUAAAACGAUGUCGAUUUUGGAGGUUGUGCCCUUGAGGCGUGGCUUCCGGAGCUAACGCGUUAAAUCGACCGCCUGGGGAGUACGGCCGCAAGGUUAAAACUCAAAUGAAUUG